CGCAUCUUGCGCUCCUUGGUAUUCCGAGGAGCAUGCCUGUUUGAGAGUCGUGAAUAACUCAAUUUCAAUCUUUUUGUUUGAAAUUGGAUUUGGAUGUUGUUGUGAGACAUGUCACAACUCAUCCUAAAUGCAUUAGUGGUCAUGACUUUUGAUCAUAAAACAAUGUAAUAAGUAUCAAAAAGCAUCGUCAGUAUCGAAGUCAAGAUUGCUUCUAACUGUCGAAAGACACUACAUUUAUGUCAUUUGACCUCAAAUCAGGUAGGACUACCCGCUGAACUUAA
This 281-nucleotide unclassified non-coding RNA is filed under the name fungal sp. Its description in RNAcentral is "partial contains 5.8S ribosomal RNA, internal transcribed spacer 2, and large subunit ribosomal RNA". The record is from RNAcentral. Lineage: Eukaryota; Fungi.